AUGCGGAUGUGGGACACACAAAAAUAUUAUAAAAGUGACAAGUAAGUCAUAUCUGGAGAUAUGACUUACUUGUCACUUUUAUAAUAUUUUUUGUGUGUCCACAUCCCCAU
Molecule: non-coding RNA, 110 nt
Organism: Paramuricea clavata
Lineage: Eukaryota; Metazoa; Cnidaria; Anthozoa; Malacalcyonacea; Plexauridae
Source: the annotation of a GenBank genome assembly